UAUAGAUUAUAUAUAAGUUAUGGAGCUUAAUUACCUUAUUAAGGAAAGUGUUCAGCCAGUUUUCUUCAAAACUACGCAAGGGAUUAACUGUAAAUAAUGGUUAUGCUGAUGAAAACAUUUCUCAAGAGUCACAAAGAGAUCCGUAGAAGGUGGAGAUAUAUAGGAGAAUUGGAUGAACACUCCCAUGAAAGGAAAAACAUACACUGUGUGUAUAUUAUAUACAUAUCAGAUAGGAACUGACGAUGUAUGUAUAUACCCUUCUGUGUAGUGAAGAAAAAUCACAUACAAGGACUUGCAAGUGAGAAAUAUAACUGAGUCUUUGGAGAUAUAUAUAUUAGUCUCAUCGUACCUGAGUUGGGAACUGGAACCUCCUAUCCUUUCUUUGACACAAAAGGGGCUUUUUGGUGUGUUGCAAUCCAGACAAGAAAGCAGCUGUAAAGAGGCAUGAAUUUACCAAGAAAGAUAAUUAAAAUAAAUAAAAUGGGAAGAGGAAAUUACAUGAUAGUAAUAAAUUCAGCAGCAAUGUGAAAAAAGAUCUUACCUUUUACAGACCCUUCAACUUUCUGCCCAUCACCUGCCGCAACCCUGCUCAACUAAGAAGCAGCAAGAACAAUAAC
RNAcentral lists this long non-coding RNA (617 nucleotides) under Carica papaya (papaya). Its description in RNAcentral is "long non-coding RNA (CPAP_LNC008454)". Lineage: Eukaryota; Viridiplantae; Streptophyta; Magnoliopsida; Brassicales; Caricaceae. The record is from RNAcentral.